AGUGAACGCUGGCGGUAGGCCUAACACAUGCAAGUCGAACGGCAGCACAGUAAGAGCUUGCUCUUACGGGUGGCGAGUGGCGGACGGGUGAGGAAUACAUCGGAAUCUACUUUUUCGUGGGGGAUAACGUAGGGAAACUUACGCUAAUACCGCAUACGACCUACGGGUGAAAGCAGGGGAUCUUCGGACCUUGCGCGAUUGAAUGAGCCGAUGUCGGAUUAGCUAGUUGGCGGGGUAAAGGCCCACCAAGGCGACGAUCCGUAGCUGGUCUGAGAGGAUGAUCGGCCACACUGGAACUGAGACAGGGUCCAGACUCCUACGGGAGGCAGCAGUGGGGAAUAUUGGACAAUGGGCGCAAGCCUGAUCCAGCCAUACCGCGUGGGUGACGAAGGCCUUCGGGUUGUAAAGCCCUUUUGUUGGGAAAGAAAAGCAGCAGGUUAAUACCCCGCUGUUCUGACGGUACCCAAAGAAUAAGCACCGGCUAACUUCGUG
This 492-nucleotide ribosomal RNA is filed under the name uncultured bacterium. RNAcentral's name for it is "partial 16S ribosomal RNA". It matches the Rfam family "Bacterial small subunit ribosomal RNA", at positions 29 to 507 of the family's 1533-position model. The record is from RNAcentral.